UUAGAGUUUGAUCCUGGCUCAGGAUGAACGCUAGCGGCAGGCUUAACACAUGCAAGUCGAGGGAGAAUCGGAGUAGCAAUACAAAGAGGAAACCGGCGGAAGGGUGCGUAACGCGUGAGCAACUUGCCCGUAUCAGGGAGAUAACCGGUGGAAACGCCGACUAAUAUCCCAUAACAACAGAGAGCGCAUGCUUUUUGUUUGAAAGAAUUUCGGAUACGGAUGGGCUCGCGUGACAUUAGCUAGUUGGAGUGGUAACGGCACACCAAGGCUACGAUGUCUAGGGGUUCUGAGAGGAAGAUCCCCCACAUCGGUACUGAGACACGGACCGAACUCCUACGGGAGGCAGCAGUGAGGAAUAUUGGACAAUGGGGGCAACCCUGAUCCAGCCAAACCGCGUGAGGGAUGAAGGUCCUACGGAUCGUAAACCUCUUUUAUGUGGGAAUAAUUGCUGAUAUGCAUAUCAGCUUGAAGGUACCACUUGAAUAAGCAUCGGCUAACUCCGUGCCAGCAGCCGCGGUAAUACGGAGGAUGCAGGCGUUAUCCGGAUUUAUUAGGUUUAAAGGGUGCGCAGGCGGGACAUUAAGUCGGUGGUGAAAUACCGUGGCCCCAACCACGGGGCUGCCAUUCGAUACUGAUGACCUUGAGUGCGUGUGACGUAGGCGGAAUGUGGAGUGUAGCGGUGAAAUGCUUAAAAUAUUCCACAGAACACCGAUUGCGAAGGCAGCCUACGAAUGCGUAACUGACGCUCAUGCACGAAAGCGCGGGUAGCGAACAGGAUUAGAUACCCUGGUAGUCCGCGCGGUAAACGAUGAUCACUCAUUGUUAGCCCUCUUUUGGGCUAGUGACCAAGCGAAAGCGAUAAGUGAUCCACCUGGGGAGUACGCCGGCAACGGUGAAACUCAAAGGAAUUGACGGGGGCCCGCACAAGCGGAGGAACAUGUGGUUUAAUUCGAUGAUACGCGAGGAACCUUACCCGGGCUCAAACGCAGACGGACAGAUUCAGAAAUGGAUUCUUCCUUCGGGACUGUCUGCGAGGUGCUGCAUGGUUGUCGUCAGCUCGUGCCGUGAGGUGUCGGGUUAAGUCCCAUAACGAGCGCAACCCUUGUCUUUAGUUACCAGCGAGUAAUGUCGGGGACUCUAGAGAGACUGCCGGUGUAAACCGUGAGGAAGGUGGGGAUGACGUCAAAUCAGCACGGCCCUUACGUCCGGGGCGACACACGUGUUACAAUGGUCGGUACAAAGAGUUGCAAUACAGCGAUGUAAAGCUAAUCUCAAAAAGCCGAUCUCAGUUCGGAUCGUAGGCUGGAACUCGCCUACGUGAAGUUGGAUUCGCUAGUAAUCGCGCAUCAGCCAUGGCGCGGUGAAUACGUUCCCGGGCCUUGUACACACCGCCCGUCA
Molecule: ribosomal RNA, 1398 nt
Filed under: uncultured bacterium
Lineage: Bacteria
Description: 16S ribosomal RNA
Rfam family: Bacterial small subunit ribosomal RNA
Source: RNAcentral